UCCUCCCUCUGGCUGCGUGCUUAACACAUGCAAGUCGAACGGAAAGGCCCUGCUUUUGUGGGGUGCUCGAGUGGCGAACGGGUGAGUAACACGUGAGUAACCUGCCCUUGACUUUGGGAUAACUUCAGGAAACUGGGGCUAAUACCGGAUAGGAGCUCCUGCUGCAUGGUGGGGGUUGGAAAGUUUCGGCGGUUGGGGAUGGACUCGCGGCUUAUCAGCUUGUUGGUGGGGUAGUGGCUUACCAAGGCUUUGACGGGUAGCCGGCCUGAGAGGGUGACCGGCCACAUUGGGACUGAGAUACGGCCCAGACUCCUACGGGAGGCAGCAGUGGGGAAUAUUGCACAAUGGGCGGAAGCCUGAUGCAGCAACGCCGCGUGCGGGAUGACGGCCUUCGGGUUGUAAACCGCUUUCGCCUGUGACGAAGCGUGAGUGACGGUAAUGGGUAAAGAAGCACCGGCUAACUACGUG
This 468-nucleotide ribosomal RNA is filed under the name uncultured bacterium. RNAcentral's name for it is "partial 16S ribosomal RNA". It matches the Rfam family "Bacterial small subunit ribosomal RNA", at positions 36 to 507 of the family's 1533-position model. The record is from RNAcentral.